CCUUAGGAACAUAACCAACGCAACAUUUGCCACCUGUUCCACGUCGAUUUUUAGAAGAAUUUUGUCUGAUUUAAGAUGUCGUCGUCUGCAGGUACGACUGUGACGUGCUCUGGUGAACGGUGUACAACUGGCCCAGAAUGUACCUGUGGAGGUCCGAGCAACUGCAAAUGUCCCAAUGAUUGCAACUGUCCGAAGUGUGCUCCUAAAUGCAAAUGUUUUGGUGAGUGCACUUGUAACAUAGGGUGCACCGGACCAGCCAAUUGUACCUGCGACCGCAGCUGCCCUUGCAAAAAUUAACCAGCCUUCUUUGUGUGUUGUCAUUCUCAAUUUUUAGCUGCUCUGUCUCUCUGUCACUGUCCCUGCCAUUCUGUCUCUCUGUCUCUCUGUCAUU
Molecule: long non-coding RNA, 391 nt
Organism: Mizuhopecten yessoensis (Yesso scallop)
Lineage: Eukaryota; Metazoa; Mollusca; Bivalvia; Pectinida; Pectinidae
Exons: 3
Source: RefSeq, a predicted model, not a curated record